GAUGAAGAACGUAGCGAAAUGCGAUAAGUAAUGCGAAUUGCAGAAUUUCCGUGAGUCAUCGAAUCUUUGAACGCACAUUGCGCCCCUUGGUAUUCCAUGGGGCAUGCCUGUUCGAGCGUCAUCUACACCCUCAAGCUCUGCUUGGUGUUGGGCGUCUGUCCCGCCCCCGCGCGUGGACUCGCCCCAAAUCCAUUGGCAGCGUUCCUUGCCCCCUCUCGCGCAGCACAUUGCGCUUCUCGAGGGCGGCUCCCGGGACGCGAUCCAGCAAGAUGACCACCGUCUUUGACCUCGGAUCAGGUAGGGAUACCCGCUGAACUUAAGCAUAUCAAUAAGCGGAGGA
Molecule: unclassified non-coding RNA, 340 nt
Filed under: soil metagenome
Description: partial contains 5.8S ribosomal RNA, internal transcribed spacer 2, and large subunit ribosomal RNA
Rfam family: 5.8S ribosomal RNA (bases 1-121)
Source: RNAcentral